This 253-nucleotide ribosomal RNA is filed under the name uncultured bacterium. Its description in RNAcentral is "partial 16S ribosomal RNA". It matches the Rfam family "Bacterial small subunit ribosomal RNA", at positions 524 to 776 of the family's 1533-position model. The record is from RNAcentral.
UACGUAGGGGGCAAGCGUUGUCCGGAAUCCUUGGGCGUAAAGCGCACGUAGGCGGCCUCAAAAGUCGGAUGUGAAAUCCCGUGGCUCAACCAUGGACGUGCAUUCGAAACUGCGAGGCUUGAGUAUGGAAGAGGGUCGCGGAAUUCCCGGUGUAGAGGUGAAAUUCGUAGAUAUCGGGAGGAACACCAGUGGCGAAGGCGGCGACCUGGGCCAAUACUGACGCUGAGGUGCGAAAGCGUGGGGAGCAAACAGG